Molecule: long non-coding RNA, 2033 nt
Organism: Carassius carassius (crucian carp)
Lineage: Eukaryota; Metazoa; Chordata; Actinopteri; Cypriniformes; Cyprinidae
Exons: 2
Source: RefSeq, a predicted model, not a curated record
CGCAUUCUGUUACAUGUCUAUUGUGAGUAUCAAAAUAAAGAAGACUAUGAUAAAUGAAAGGACCUCUUAUUUGUAGUGUUGUUUAAUAUUAGCUUUUAAGCUUUUAAUUAGGUUUGGUCUUAACCAGUAUGCACUUUCUUGAAUGUCAUUUCAUUUGAGGUACCUUUUUAACAACAUUCAUUUUACAAGGUUGUGUGUUUAGGCCUGUUUAUACCAAGAACGACAUUCAGUGAGAUAAACUUUUGACCUUGAUUAAACCGCUGACAAACAUUUGCAUGCUGUUUUUUACGUAUAAGAGUUCUUAAGGGAUAGAAAAAAUUAACUAUUUACCCACUCUCAUGUUGUUUCCAGACAUGUAUGAAUUUCUUUUUGUUGAACACAAAAGAAUAUAUUUUGAAAAAAUGUUUGUAACCAAACAUCUGCUGGUAGCCGUUGACUUCCAUGGCAUUUUUAUUCAUAUAUUAUUUUAUUCAUAUCUCUUAUCUAUCCCACUGCGAAUAAAGCUGGCCAACCAAUAAGAAUCAGGCUUUUUAUUCACAUGCCCAGAGCCACUGCUGUUACAUGAAACUGAUUUGGUGGCACUUACAGACAAUACAGAAUCUGCAGCAAGCAGGGGGUUUUCUUGCUUUUCCAUAAACGCCACCUACUAAAAAUUUAACUGCAUUUUUGUUCCAGUCCUGGAAUUCAUCUUGGUAUAAACAGGCUUUUUUUUAUUAAAGCUUCAUUCAAAAAAAAGAAAGAAGAAAAACCUGCAUCAGUUUUUCUAGAAAGUUAGUCAACUUAAAAGGCAAGUUGGAAUUAAAACUCAAUCAGAACUAGAAACUUUAAACUAGCCUGAAUCCUUUGCUUUUGACAUCCUUCUUUUAGAUCGAUUCAUUUACGCUUAUGAAUCUGCCACAGACAUUAAAAUGAGGCAGGCUUUGGUUUCGUAAGCUUGUUUGUCGGUAUACUCCGGUUUGUUUUGUCAUAUCGAUAGGAUGAAGUUUUGCUAUGAUGGUGUGGAGUGGAGACACCGGUUAUGAUUCCUUGAAUGUUCUGACUGACCGUCCUUUGUUUUAUUGAGAGCACAGAGAUUGAGCCAGAUGUGACGAGUUUGUGUGAGUUAAAACAGUGGAGUAAAGGCCUCUAAAUGCACUAUAGAAGCACAUUUUGAGGUGAUUAUGAGUGACAAUUAAUGAAGCUUGACAGCCUUUAUGAGCAACCGAAACAGGUUUAGGUACACAUUUUAGUUACAGGCCUGUAGCGUCAGUGUGUGGGUCUGUUCUUUCUUUUUUUUUUUUCUUUUUUUAAAUCCUUCUAAAGAGAGACUAAUUGUAUGUCAAUGUGUUUUUUUUCUCUCCUUGUAAGUAAUGACCUUACAGAUUCAAAGAUAAGUUGGCUUGAAUAUCUCUCUUCCAUUCAGUACAGUUACAAAUGUUUACAGUAUCUAAUUAACCAAAUAGAAGAUGUAUUUUCAGACAUGCCCUGUCUGGUCCUGAAAGGAGUCUGUUAGACGGAGUUUCUUGUCUUUUUUUUUUUUUUUUUUUUUGCCUCUGUUUUAAACUUGAAGAUUUUGUUCUUUGUUCUCUUUAAACAGUGCUCCCUCACCUCACAUCGUAUUUUCUUCUGAAUAAAAAGGAAGUUUAAUGGUCUUUUAGGUGGCAGAGCAGGUUUGCCAGCGUUCUUCAUUUUUUUUUUUUUUUUUUUUUUUUGCGGUAGUAGACAUAUUUCUGUUUCAAGUUACACUUGACUUAUAUGUAACUAACUUCCUUCUAUAGUCUCAGUCAGAGCAAGAACUAAAAUUAGCCGUUCUUUUUUCCUCUUCCGUCUUUCUACGACAAGAUGUAUACUGAAAAGUAAGAUACAGCAGAGCCAAAUGUUUAAUAGACUUCUGUUUGUGUUCUAUUAUAACAGUGUAUGAAAUUUUCAUGCAUAGUGGUUAUGACGUAACUAUGAAAGCUUAGUUUAUCUCACAAUUCUUUUAUUCUUUUAGGUACAUCUAAGGGGAAAAAAUCAGAAAUGUGAGAUAUAAAGUCAGACAUAUAUACUUGCAA